This is a long non-coding RNA of Wyeomyia smithii (pitcher-plant mosquito), 1327 nucleotides long. RefSeq lists it as uncharacterized. The transcript has 3 exons. The record is from RefSeq and is a predicted model, not a curated record. Lineage: Eukaryota; Metazoa; Arthropoda; Insecta; Diptera; Culicidae.
ACUAGAAUUACUCUUGAUGUGAUAGCUUCCUUCCAUUACUUAUUGUCGAUUUACUGACACGUUUUUUUCAGCUUAUUCUAUGGCUGGGCAGCAGGAGACGCAAGACGCUUGAAUGAAACAUAUCACACACUUAAUUUAAAGGUUAUGUUUAUGGGCUAGAUUUGCUGUCAGCCGAUGCUCUUGCUGUUCGUACCAAUAAAAUCGAAUCUGGUUUUUUGGGGUGCAUUUUUUAUUAGCCCUCCCUUUCUGUUUUCGAUCGCACUCUCACCACUUGCUCAUUUGACGUUUGACAUUCUCACCACCCGCUCGUCGGUUAGUUGAAAUAUUUAUUAACAUAAUAAAACAGUUCCUUCUUGAUGGUAAGUGGCGAACGCAUUCUGUUGGUUUGGUUUUGAUUCCGAAUUUUUCUUCGGUUUUUUUUCUCAAGGUACUCGCAGCGAUGAAUGAAGAAAAAUAUCUGACAAAUUGUCCAGCGUUUGGAAGAUUUAUUGCGAAAAGCUCUUCGAAAUUCCCGGAGGUGUUUAUGCGACUCAAAGGCAAGUGCGGGCUAAACCCUAUUUCAUGUGAAUCUCUGCUGCAAGAGAGAACCUAAAUUUGGUACAAAUAUUUCCAACAGUGCAACUGUAGUGACUACCAGUAUGGGUUUGCUUCAGUCAGCAGUGGCCUUCAACAUCGUAGUGAUGACAACACUGACUGGCUUCUGGCUAGUUUUACGAUCGCUGCCUCGGCAGACCAACGCCAGUGCAAUAACAGUAAUUAAACAUAAUCACAUUGUCGCAGCAGCAUCAGUCCCAACCUCUAUGUUGGCUCGAUGUGACUGGCCUAUGUGUAGAUAUCAUUCAGCUCGAUAUGAAUCAUUGCGCUCCCCUAGUGUAGCGAAAACAUGCAGAACAUAUGAACUAACUAGGGUAUCAUCAAACAUCAUCAUCUGGGUAGUAGGGGGAGAAGAAAAGUGUCGUUCUCAUCAUGAAAUUGAAGAACAAAUUUGUGGAGUGUUUUUGGGACAAGUGUUGUUUGCUAUCUGUAAACUUCAGCUAUAUUUUUGAUUGAUUCCAGUGUCCCACUUUCGAUAAUCUACUGUAGAUGAUCAUACAAUAAAUAGUGUUAUUGUGAACGCAACAGUUCAAGCCUUAAUCAACCAAUUUGUUCUGUUAAAACGCACACAGAUUGCUCUGGCUUUGCAAAAAAAUUGUGUUUAAUGCAUGAAGCAACAGUUGUAUAUUCAUUGUACAACUACAUUGUACAACAUUGACAGAUAUAGAAAUCAGGUUAUGUAUCAUACACACAAAAAACGGUAAACUUCGGUUUCGGGCGAAUGAUCAGUUUU